This is a long non-coding RNA of Betta splendens (Siamese fighting fish), 1968 nucleotides long. The record is from Ensembl. NCBI's taxonomy places the organism in Eukaryota, Metazoa, Chordata, Actinopteri, Anabantiformes, Osphronemidae.
GAAGAUGACCACCUUCCCGUUCCAGCUGUUCUCGGGGCAGAGCGUUCGACUGGACACCUUAAGACAAUUUGAUUAGCAAGUUAUGAACAGCGGCUGAACUGGUUUCCAGUCCCGCAUGGUCAUUCGUGCAUGUGGGCUCUGAAAGCCACCUGACACUGUCGCCUGCCCCUGGAGCCCUUUUCCUCCUCCUAAUCCGCCGCUAAUGGUUAGCAAUGGAGGCCCAGAGGAAGAUUCAACCAUUGGUGUGUGGAAAUCCCUGCUGGAGUGGGAGUGUCGCGCUUGAGGAAGUGCUCAGCGAAGCGCACCAGAGACAGCAACAGGACCCUCAUGCCAUGUGCACCAAAAUGCUCAAGCUUACAGUACGGGAUGCCACACAGCAGCAGCAGCAGCACGCGCUGACGCCGAAAACGCUUGGCUACAGUGCCCUCUGGUGGAGGUCAGCGGCAUUGGACUCGUGGAAACCUGGGACAGAAGCUCAUCCAGGAAGGACGUCUUGACUCUCACGAAAGCGUCAUCGUUGUCUCUUUGUUUGUGUCCUGCUAUGCCACAGAAAUACUGAUUUUAAAAACACAUUUAAAAAGAGCUCACCCUGGCACCAUGACUGGGACCCUAAAGGUGUUCCAACCAAAUCUAGGCUCCCUUCACUUGGUGUUUGGACUCUUUUGUCCACACCCUGCCUCUUCUGCUAUAGGCAUGAGAGGACAGGAGAUUAUAUAGGAUUAUGUGAUGACUGGUGUUCGUCGAUGAUGAACAAGCCCUCGUUAGCCAGCACUUUAAUGUGCAGACAGAUAGCGCUCUCAUUAGCUCUAGUAAUGACCACUUCACAGUGUACCGCCACUCUAAUUGCAUGUUUUGUUCUCUCUGAGGCUCUGGCCCUGCAGAGCGGAAGACAUCUCUCCCUUUUCCCUUCCAACAAACGAGGGCCGUCGCUCUCUCCAGCUCCAACUGUCUUUUCUCUCCCUCGGCCAUCUAUCACAGUUUGAGGACGCAGCAUAUUUGUGGACACUGUUGUGUCUGAAUGAGGCCCGGCAGAUAAGAAGCUCCCAAAGUCAUGUCGACUAAAUGGAACAGAUGAGGCCGGAUGAAAACGUGGGUAUUAUCCCUGUAGCUAGGGCAACAGAGGUUUCAGCUCAAUUGUACUUCUGUCGAUUAAUUCAGUUAUGCGGCAGUAAUAAUUUUUGGAGAUAUUGAACGAUAUGAUGAAGCACUAGAAAUGUAAAAAACUUAAGAUCUCACCUUUUGAUGCAGAGAAAAAAAAAAUCUGAGUAGCUCCCAGCAUCAAAAGCCCUAAUCAUAUCAUAUUUUCGGAACAUAAAAGCUUCUCUCCUUUCCCCAUUUUAUUUCCUCUGCUCCAGUGAUAUGUCAUGUCAAUCGUUAUAUUAUGCACAAGUGCUGUCUUUUUUUCUUAUUGUGAAUUCCAGAUCGGGUGGGACAUUUGAUAUGGAGGCUCAGAGGAUUCUGAUGCCCUUCUAUUUUCCUUGAUUUCGUUACCAGUGGGACAUUUUUGCCUCCACAUUCUUUCAUGUCCCUCCCUUCUCUGAAAGUAAGUUGUUUAUUCUCCAUGAUGACUAUCUUCGGGCUCAAAAAAAUAUCUUCUGAAAAGACUUCUGAGCAAAUCUGUCCAGGCUUGGUCCCUUUUAAAAUCUGAAGCUCGGGUAGAAUCCGACAAUGGCUUAGACUCCUCGGAGGAGGCAGCUUUCUUUUACACUCUCAGUCAUCUUUGUGAUACUUGUGAACACACGGCUUUAUGACAAGGAGCUAACUUAAAUCAAUUUAAAACAGCUUUUGAAAUGCCUUUCGAUAUGCCAUUGUGUUGACUUGAAAAAGAAUGAAAAGAAAAUCUGAAUUGUAACAUCUGUCGUAUUGGGUGCCCCCCUCCUGUGCAGCUUUCGUCGCACGCACAAUGAAGUAUUGAUCGAUUCAAGUCCAUUUAGGGUUUUGAAAUAAAUGUAAAAAAUAAAAAAAACA